UACGGAGGGUGCGAGCGUUGUCCGGAAUUACUGGGCGUAAAGCGCGCGUAGGUGGUUCGUUAAGUUGGAUGUGAAAUCCCCGGGCUCAACCUGGGAACUGCAUUCAAAACUGUCGAGCUAGAGUAUGGUAGAGGGUGGUGGAAUUUCCUGUGUAGCGGUGAAAUGCGUAGAUAUAGGAAGGAACACCAGUGGCGAAGGCGACCACCUGGACUGAUACUGACACUGAGGUGCGAAAGCGUGGGGAGCAAACAGG
Molecule: ribosomal RNA, 253 nt
Filed under: uncultured bacterium
Lineage: Bacteria
Description: partial 16S ribosomal RNA
Rfam family: Bacterial small subunit ribosomal RNA
Source: RNAcentral